This 422-nucleotide ribosomal RNA is filed under the name uncultured Glomeraceae. Its description in RNAcentral is "SSU rRNA". It matches the Rfam family "Eukaryotic small subunit ribosomal RNA", at positions 459 to 886 of the family's 1831-position model. The record is from RNAcentral. Lineage: Eukaryota; Fungi; Glomeromycota; Glomeromycetes; Glomerales; Glomeraceae.
GGGAGGUAGUGACAAUAAAUAACAAUAUGGGGCCCUCACGGGUUUCGUAAUUGGAAUGAGUACAAUUUAAAUCUCUUAACGAGGAACAAUUGGAGGGCAAGUCUGGUGCCAGCAGCCGCGGUAAUUCCAGCUCCAAUAGCGUAUAUUAAAGUUGUUGCAGUUAAAAAGCUCGUAGUUGAAUUUCGAGAUCAAAUUGUUGGUCGUGCCUCGGUACGCACUGGCAUUAUUGAUUUCUCCCUUCUGACGAUCCGCGAUGUCAUUAGUUUGGUGUCGCGGGGAAUCAGGACUGUUACUUUGAAAAAAUUAGAGUGUUUAAAGCAGGCUCACGCUUGAAUACAUUAGCAUGGAAUAAUGAAAUAGGACGUUUGAUUCUAUUUUGUUGGUUUCUAGGAUCGACGUAAUGAUUAAUAGGGAUAGUUGGG